Oryctolagus cuniculus (rabbit) is the source of this 2978-nucleotide non-coding RNA. Lineage: Eukaryota; Metazoa; Chordata; Mammalia; Lagomorpha; Leporidae. The record is from RefSeq and is a predicted model, not a curated record.
CACCUGAGCGGAGUGCCGGCCUCUGGGGCUCCGGAGCUCCGGGAAGGGAGCUGCGGGCGCGCAGGGUCCUGGUAGGGAGCGCUGGGUGGGAAGGGGCUUGGGAGCCCUGGUGUGACGCAGUUUACGGAGCCCGGAGCCCCGACUGUCUGGAGUGUUGAAGCUGCACGGGCAGCUGACCUCUGAAUCUUCUUUUCACAUUUGAUUACCAAGCACUGGGCCAUUUGUUCCUGAGGCUUGUGCACGUCUCAUUGCACUUUAGCCCUGAUCUCACUUCAAUAUGAAGAAGCUGAGGUCCAAAAACCUCUUCUCGUUCUGUUGUGCUUCUGUAAUGGACUGAUUGAUCAACUGAUGAUGAUGCCCAGAGUUACCGUCAGGAAGAGGAAGAGCAGCAAGAGGGGGUUCUCCAAGAAGCCAGAGGAAGGAACGUUUCCCAAAGAAAAGUCAGAUCCCACUCUUUCUCUGGAUGAACAAGACAGCGUGUAGAACCACGACUCUCAUUUCCUGAUGUUUGCUAAGUAAAGUGAACAAAGAGGUAUUUGAAUAGAUCACACUGUUCCUUUUGUGUGAAGAAUUUGGUGUUUGCAAAAGGACUCAAGAUAGAAAAAAUUCUGUUGUGAACACUCCAUUUUCUACAUAAAAUUGUAUCAGGAAUCAUGUGGGGAUACUUAAGACAGGCCGGUACUUUCAAGUUUUCUCCUGCCCAGAUUUGUGUGGAAUAAAUCCAGACCUACCUCUCUCAAAACUCCAACAGGGUAGAAUAGCUGAAAUAAAGUAAACCUGUGAUUACUCACUUCUGUGUUUACUUAGAUAUUCUGGCAUUUGGCUCAAAGACAAAGCUUUUUAGACAUGUUAUUUAAACUCAGUUUUGUCACAGAUUUUAAAUUGGAAGAAAAAAAUAGCAACAGAAUAGAGCUAUUUAAACCAUAUACAUUUAGGCUCACUACCAACUUACCCUUACCCGGCAAUACUAAUAGAAUUUCAAAAAUGCUUUCCAGAGUUGAGCUCUGCCACCUAGCAACCACUUUGAAAUGCUUCCUACACUGGCCCAAGACUACACCAAAUACCCAGUUUUGAAAUUGGUGAGACGUUUUGCUGUGCAUGGGCCACAGGCAUUGAAGGGAGGAUUAGAAUUUUGUUUUUAGGGCAAAGGCAUGCAGAUUAGAAGGAUUGUUUAACUGCUCAACUGGUUUUGGAAUACUGUUGGCCAAUUAAAUGUAGAUGAAAGAUUGCAUUGGAUAUUCUACACUAACAAAUAUUCUUUGUUUAUCUGAAAUUCAAAUUUCACUGGGCAUCCAGUAUUUUUAUUUGAUAAAUCUGCAGCCUAUUGAAGAGACUUUUGUAGUGCAGAGCAGAAGAAUAUAUGUAAAAUAUGCAUCAUGUAUAUUACCUUGAUCUCUCUGAGGCCACAGAAAUUAGGGACCUAAGAAAGAUACGUUUCACAGCUCACUGGCUAUUGGAUCUGUGAAGGAGAUGGAAGCCCAAGAGACCAACAUUCUGGUCAUACAGGAGCUAAUGGAAAGGUACACUCAGAAAGCCUAAACUGAGAGACUGACAGGCAAAGGAAGUAGUUGAAAGUGCCACCUCCAUACAGCACCAAGCAAUCCCCUGGCUGUCUGCACCAGCAUGGGUAACCGGCUUGGCAGUGUAGAGGCUUUGUGUAAGCCCUGCCAGUCAAUUUCACCUAGCCCAGUUCUGAGCUUGGAAGAGGCUGUCACUUUGUUUCCAAUCCAAAUCACAGCCUCUUGUUCCCAGCUCUGCAGCUCAUGCUGCUAACUUAACCCAGCAGUGCAAAAUAACCAAGACAUAGAAGGAACACAUGAUCCCCUUGAAUUUAUCCAUGACUGAACACCUCCUGAUGGACGCACAAGAAACUACUAAUUAUGGCUUCCCUUGGGGGAAUGGAUCAUGGAGGGGAACGUGCACUGCACACAUCCUGUGUACUCACUGGCUUCUUUUAAUAUCUGUACAUUACUGACUCAAAAUGAAAUUUAAAUAUAAUGAUAAUAGACAAACACAGUCCAGAAUCUGACUCAGGUUUAAAUUACCUGUAUCUUUAAUUUAAGAUGGCUCAUUGCAACAGGUGUUUUUAAACAAUUUUUUUUCCUAUGGUUUUGCAUUAUCUACCUCUAUUCAAGAAAGACCUAGGGUCUGACAUUUCAUUAAGCUUUUUUUUUUUUUUUUUUAGAAAAUUUGCUGCUAAACUCAGUGACAAAUUGUAACAUUUGAUGAAAAACAUUUGCUCUGUUUUGUAAUGUUUAUUCUGAAUUCUGUACCAUGUUGUUUUAUGUACCGAUAUCUAAAAGUUCAAAAUUAAAAUUUGGCAGAAGUAGCAGUCUUUCUUUUUUUGAUAAAAUGAAAUAACAGGCUAUCAAAGAAGGAGGUACCUUUCUCUGAAGGGAUGAGAGAACUUCCACUUUGACUAUGACCUUGUCUAAAUAAGAUCGAAGUUGGCGAACUCAAAAGGCUUCCAUAGCCUUGUAAACUCAUGACAAGAGCCUAGGGAGAUUACUGACACCAUAAACAAGAGUAUCAGUUUGUUAAGUCAACAACAGGAAUCACUGUGCACUUACUCCUCAUGUAGGAUCUCUGUCCUUAAUGUGUUGUUCAAUGUGAAUUAAUGCUAUAACUAGUACUCAAACAGUAUUUACACUUUAUGUUCUGUGUGGGUGCAAACUGUUGAAAUCUUUACUUAAUAUAUACUAAAUUGAUCUUCUGUAUAUAAAGAUAAUUGAAAAUGGAUCUUGAUGUGAAUGGAAUGGGAGAGGGAGCGGGAGAUGGGAGGGUUGCGGGUGGGAGGGAAGUUAUGGGGGGGAAAGCCAUUGUAGUCCAUAAACUGUACUUUGGAAAUUUAUAUUUACUAAAUAAAAAUUUAAAAAAUGAAAUAGCAGUCUUUAUAUUUUUAAAAUAAAAGCAAUAUUGAAUUUCCUCUUAUAAAUUCCAUUAGGCAAGCAGUCUUUGUCUCUUGGUCAAUAAUGGAU